Molecule: microRNA precursor, 65 nt
Filed under: Glycine max (soybean)
Lineage: Eukaryota; Viridiplantae; Streptophyta; Magnoliopsida; Fabales; Fabaceae
Description: miR5372 stem-loop (gma-MIR5372)
Source: miRBase by way of RNAcentral
UUGCAUGGUUGUUCGAUAAAACUGUUGUGAUAAUGUACAACACAAUUAUCGAUAGCUUAUGCAAA